RNAcentral lists this ribosomal RNA (855 nucleotides) under Bacillus subtilis. Its description in RNAcentral is "bacterial SSU rRNA". It matches the Rfam family "Bacterial small subunit ribosomal RNA", at positions 22 to 859 of the family's 1533-position model. Lineage: Bacteria; Bacillati; Bacillota; Bacilli; Caryophanales; Bacillaceae. The record is from RNAcentral.
GCUCAGGACGAACGCUGGCGGCGUGCCUAAUACAUGCAAGUCGAGCGGACAGAAGGGAGCUUGCUCCCGGAUGUUAGCGGCGGACGGGUGAGUAACACGUGGGUAACCUGCCUGUAAGACUGGGAUAACUCCGGGAAACCGGAGCUAAUACCGGAUAGUUCCUUGAACCGCAUGGUUCAAGGAUGAAAGACGGUUUCGGCUGUCACUUACAGAUGGACCCGCGGCGCAUUAGCUAGUUGGUGAGGUAACGGCUCACCAAGGCGACGAUGCGUAGCCGACCUGAGAGGGUGAUCGGCCACACUGGGACUGAGACACGGCCCAGACUCCUACGGGAGGCAGCAGUAGGGAAUCUUCCGCAAUGGACGAAAGUCUGACGGAGCAACGCCGCGUGAGUGAUGAAGGUUUUCGGAUCGUAAAGCUCUGUUGUUAGGGAAGAACAAGUGCAAGAGUAACUGCUUGCACCUUGACGGUACCUAACCAGAAAGCCACGGCUAACUACGUGCCAGCAGCCGCGGUAAUACGUAGGUGGCAAGCGUUGUCCGGAAUUAUUGGGCGUAAAGGGCUCGCAGGCGGUUUCUUAAGUCUGAUGUGAAAGCCCCCGGCUCAACCGGGGAGGGUCAUUGGAAACUGGGAAACUUGAGUGCAGAAGAGGAGAGUGGAAUUCCACGUGUAGCGGUGAAAUGCGUAGAGAUGUGGAGGAACACCAGUGGCGAAGGCGACUCUCUGGUCUGUAACUGACGCUGAGGAGCGAAAGCGUGGGGAGCGAACAGGAUUAGAUACCCUGGUAGUCCACGCCGUAAACGAUGAGUGCUAAGUGUUAGGGGGUUUCCGCCCCUUAGUGCUGCAGCUAACGCA